CAGCACUCUCUCAAAAUCCAAACUGUGCCCCGUGGCCCAAAAAGCAAAAGCAAUGGAAGAUGGGGUUUGGCAAUGCAGAGAACAGCAGUGAAAUGGAUACAAAAAUAAUGGCGUAAAUAAUGCCACCAUGGCUCCCGGGGAAUAGGAUAGUCUAUAAAUCUAAAUAAAAGAAUGAACAAUAUG
Long non-coding RNA from Podarcis raffonei (Aeolian wall lizard), 183 nucleotides. RefSeq lists it as uncharacterized. The transcript has 2 exons. Lineage: Eukaryota; Metazoa; Chordata; Lepidosauria; Squamata; Lacertidae. The record is from RefSeq and is a predicted model, not a curated record.